Musa acuminata AAA Group (dessert banana) is the source of this 894-nucleotide long non-coding RNA. RefSeq lists it as uncharacterized. Lineage: Eukaryota; Viridiplantae; Streptophyta; Magnoliopsida; Zingiberales; Musaceae. The record is from RefSeq and is a predicted model, not a curated record. The transcript has 3 exons.
CGGCGGACCGGUCACGUGCGUUGCGUUCGCCACACGAACUCCCUCGGCUCGCUCUCCGCCCGCUCAAUUUUGCUCCUCUGUUGCCGCAUUCCUCCGCCUCGGGGAAGGUCUCCGACGCGCUUCACACUGUUGGGCUAGUAGAGGUCGAUGAUGAACACGAAGAAGAGGUUGCUUCAGAGAGCACAAAUUAUGGCACUCACUUGUGUCUUGAUAUUUGAUCACCAAGCCCAAAGUGCAGAUGAAGCAGUCAGGAUCUUUACGGAAUUUUGGAGAUCAGAAAGGCUGGAAGACUGAAACACCAUCACUGACCUUUUGACUGGCUUACUUCCUCAAGGAAAACAGCUAACAGACAAACUUUUACCUCUCAUGGUCCUCUUUUUCACUGGUAUUGAACUGCAACUGCUAGUAAUGGGAUGGACAAAUAACUCCUCCCUGUCAGAUUGGUUCAAGGAGGAUGAUCUACAGCCUAGGUGUCCCAUAUAAGAAGAGCGAGACGCAGGCAUUAAUUGAUAUCAAGGGCCGCUUCUUUGGUGGAAGAAUGGUGCAUGCUUCAUUCUAUGGUGAGGAAAGGUUUAGAAACAAAGAGCUGGCUUCAAUGCAUUUAGAAGUACCUGGUUACCCAUGGGGAACAUUAUUAGGCGAUGAGCGUCUCCAGUGGGCUUUCUGGUCGAUGAUACGUCGGUAACAAUUGUAGCUUGUCCAUGGAGCUUAAUGCAGUCGACCAUGCAUGUCUAAGUUUUGGUCCGAGCUAUCAAUUUGAUGUUCGGGUAACUCUUUGUAAAGCAUUAAAGGAUGUUCUUGGUGAGGAUUGUCGACCUGGAAACGUGCUUACAUGAUCUGUUAAUGGACAUUGUUUGUUCCUUCUUAAAACUGCAAGCUAUUGUCAUCCUGGUU